Molecule: transfer RNA, 88 nt
Filed under: Halimeda borneensis
Lineage: Eukaryota; Viridiplantae; Chlorophyta; Ulvophyceae; Bryopsidales; Halimedaceae
Description: tRNA-Ser
Rfam family: tRNA
About the family: Transfer RNA (tRNA) molecules are approximately 80 nucleotides in length. Their secondary structure includes four short double-helical elements and three loops (D, anti-codon, and T loops). Further hydrogen bonds mediate the characteristic L-shaped molecular structure. tRNAs have two regions of fundamental functional importance: the anti-codon, which is responsible for specific mRNA codon recognition, and the 3' end, to which the tRNAs corresponding amino acid is attached (by aminoacyl-tRNA synthetases). tRNAs cope with the degeneracy of the genetic code in two manners: having more than one tRNA (with a specific anti-codon) for a particular amino acid; and 'wobble' base-pairing, i.e. permitting non-standard base-pairing at the 3rd anti-codon position.
Source: RNAcentral
GGAAAGGUGGCAGAGCGGUUGAAUGCAUCAGUUUUGAAAACUGUCGUAGUGAUUUUCAUUACCGGGGGUUCGAAUCCCCCCCUUUCCU